This 85-nucleotide transfer RNA is filed under the name Felis catus (domestic cat). It matches the Rfam family "tRNA". From Rfam's summary of the family: Transfer RNA (tRNA) molecules are approximately 80 nucleotides in length. Their secondary structure includes four short double-helical elements and three loops (D, anti-codon, and T loops). Further hydrogen bonds mediate the characteristic L-shaped molecular structure. tRNAs have two regions of fundamental functional importance: the anti-codon, which is responsible for specific mRNA codon recognition, and the 3' end, to which the tRNAs corresponding amino acid is attached (by aminoacyl-tRNA synthetases). tRNAs cope with the degeneracy of the genetic code in two manners: having more than one tRNA (with a specific anti-codon) for a particular amino acid; and 'wobble' base-pairing, i.e. permitting non-standard base-pairing at the 3rd anti-codon position. Lineage: Eukaryota; Metazoa; Chordata; Mammalia; Carnivora; Felidae. RNAcentral also lists the same sequence under 1 other name. The record is from Rfam by way of RNAcentral.
ACCUGGGUGGCUCAGUUGGUUAAGCAUCUGACUUCAGCUCAGGUCAUGAUCUCACAGUUCAUGGGUAUGAUCCCCGUCUCAGGCU